This 406-nucleotide ribosomal RNA is filed under the name uncultured bacterium. Its description in RNAcentral is "partial 16S ribosomal RNA". It matches the Rfam family "Bacterial small subunit ribosomal RNA", at positions 28 to 526 of the family's 1533-position model. The record is from RNAcentral.
GAUGAACGCUAGCUACAGGCUUAACACAUGCAAGUCGAGGGACCGGCGCACGGGUGAGUAACACGUAUCCAACCUGCCCUUUACUCGGGGAUAGCCUUUCGAAAGAAAGAUUAAUACCCGAUAUAAAGGAUGGGGAUGCGUUCCAUUAGGUUGUUGGUGAGGUAACGGCCCACCAAGCCUUCGAUGGAUAGGGGUUCUGAGAGGAAGCGCCCUCAGAUUGGAACCGAGACACGGUCCAAACUCCGACCGGAGGCAGCAGUUAUGAAGAUUGGUCAAUGGGCGCUAGCCUGAACCAGCCAAGUAGCGUGAAAGAUGAAGGCUUAUGGGUCGUAAAUUUCUGUUAUAUAAGAAUAUGUAUUAUAUGAAUAAGGAUCGGCUAACUCCGUGCCAGCCGCCGCGGUAAUAC